RNAcentral lists this ribosomal RNA (1677 nucleotides) under Vibrio cholerae. RNAcentral describes it as "partial 23S ribosomal RNA". It matches the Rfam family "Bacterial large subunit ribosomal RNA", at positions 545 to 2213 of the family's 2925-position model. The record is from RNAcentral. Lineage: Bacteria; Pseudomonadati; Pseudomonadota; Gammaproteobacteria; Vibrionales; Vibrionaceae.
AGAACCUGAAACCGUGUACGUACAAGCAGUAGGAGCACCUUCGUGGUGUGACUGCGUACCUUUUGUAUAAUGGGUCAGCGACUUAUAUUCAGUGGCAAGGUUAACCGUAUAGGGGAGCCGUAGCGAAAGCGAGUCUUAACUGGGCGCUCAGUCUCUGGAUAUAGACCCGAAACCGGGUGAUCUAGCCAUGGGCAGGUUGAAGGUUGAGUAACAUCAACUGGAGGACCGAACCGACUAAUGUUGAAAAAUUAGCGGAUGACUUGUGGCUAGGGGUGAAAGGCCAAUCAAACUCGGAGAUAGCUGGUUCUCCCCGAAAGCUAUUUAGGUAGCGCCUCGGACGAAUACUACUGGGGGUAGAGCACUGUUAAGGCUAGGGGGUCAUCCCGACUUACCAACCCUUUGCAAACUCCGAAUACCAGUAAGUACUAUCCGGGAGACACACGGCGGGUGCUAACGUCCGUCGUGGAGAGGGAAACAACCCAGACCGCCAGCUAAGGUCCCAAAGUAUUGCUAAGUGGGAAACGAUGUGGGAAGGCUCAGACAGCUAGGAUGUUGGCUUAGAAGCAGCCAUCAUUUAAAGAAAGCGUAAUAGCUCACUAGUCGAGUCGGCCUGCGCGGAAGAUGUAACGGGGCUAAGCAAUACACCGAAGCUGCGGCAAUGUCUUUUAGACAUUGGGUAGGGGAGCGUUCUGUAAGCCGUUGAAGGUGAAUCGUAAGGUUUGCUGGAGGUAUCAGAAGUGCGAAUGCUGACAUGAGUAACGACAAAGGGGGUGAAAAACCUCCUCGCCGGAAGACCAAGGGUUCCUGUCCAACGUUAAUCGGGGCAGGGUGAGUCGACCCCUAAGGUGAGGCCGAAAGGCGUAAUCGAUGGGAAACGGGUUAAUAUUCCCGUACUUCUGACUAUUGCGAUGGGGGGACGGAGAAGGCUAGGUGGGCCAGGCGACGGUUGUCCUGGUUCAAGUGCGUAGGCUUGAGAGUUAGGUAAAUCCGGCUCUCUCUAAGGCUGAGACACGACGUCGAGCUACUACGGUAGUGAAGUCAUUGAUGCCAUGCUUCCAGGAAAAGCCUCUAAGCUUCAGAUAGUCAGGAAUCGUACCCCAAACCGACACAGGUGGUCGGGUAGAGAAUACCAAGGCGCUUGAGAGAACUCGGGUGAAGGAACUAGGCAAAAUGGUACCGUAACUUCGGGAGAAGGUACGCUCUUGAUGGUGAAGUCCCUCGCGGAUGGAGCUGACGAGAGUCGCAGAUACCAGGUGGCUGCAACUGUUUAUUAAAAACACAGCACUGUGCAAAAUCGCAAGAUGACGUAUACGGUGUGACGCCUGCCCGGUGCCGGAAGGUUAAUUGAUGGGGUUAGCGCAAGCGAAGCUCUUGAUCGAAGCCCCGGUAAACGGCGGCCGUAACUAUAACGGUCCUAAGGUAGCGAAAUUCCUUGUCGGGUAAGUUCCGACCUGCACGAAUGGCGUAAUGAUGGCCACGCUGUCUCCACCCGAGACUCAGUGAAAUUGAAAUCGCUGUGAAGAUGCAGUGUACCCGCGGCUAGACGGAAAGACCCCGUGAACCUUUACUACAGCUUGGCACUGAACAUUGAACCUACAUGUGUAGGAUAGGUGGGAGGCUAUGAAGACGUGACGCCAGUUGCGUUGGAGCCGUCCUUGAAAUACCACCCUUGUAUGU